GUUGUUUGCACUCGCUCAACAAGUUUUCGUUUGGCUUAGUGCUGCAAUAAUCGUUCGAAGGAAAGGACACAUCAUGAAGUUGAAUUUCAUAUUUUUGCUGCUGACCCUAAUCGUAGGAGUGGCGCUCGGAUUUCCCCAGUCAAAUCCAUUUGACGAAAUAGAUCGCCUCGGAGCGAAUGAAUAUCGACAGCAGCAGUUGCCGACCAAUAUGCCUUAAGGAAAUUCCGACUCAAGUGAGAGUGAUGAAAGUUAAUCUAUUUUUGUGGUGAAAAUUGUGGAAAAGCUUGCUUCUGAAUGGAAUAAAUAAAUUUCAAAACUA
This is a long non-coding RNA of Culex pipiens pallens (northern house mosquito), 319 nucleotides long. RefSeq lists it as uncharacterized. The transcript has 3 exons. Lineage: Eukaryota; Metazoa; Arthropoda; Insecta; Diptera; Culicidae. The record is from RefSeq and is a predicted model, not a curated record.